This 80-nucleotide transfer RNA is filed under the name archaeon. Its description in RNAcentral is "tRNA-Leu". It matches the Rfam family "tRNA". From Rfam's summary of the family: Transfer RNA (tRNA) molecules are approximately 80 nucleotides in length. The record is from RNAcentral.
GGGUAGCCAAGUGGUCAACGGCGCAAGGUUGAGGGCCUUGUUCCUUAGUGGAUUCGUGAGUUCGAAUCUCACCCCCCGCA